UUUUUCUUUUUUCUUUGUUUUUUUUUUUUUGACUCUUCUGAACCCACUGCCCACUUUCCAUGUAAUAACACACACAUGGUCUAUUCCCCAUAAUUACAAUCAAAAAUAUAUCAUGGCUAUGUGACUGAGUGCAUACACUAACACCAUAUGUGGCACAUAAUAAACACUUGACACAAUUUGGAGCAAAUCUAUUUGUAAUGCAGAAGUCCAUUACACAUGUUAGAGGACAGAGAUUCUCCAAUUGCUGUGACUCAGUUGUCAUAUGAUGGGUAUUAAAGUAGCUGAAGCAGCUGCCUCAUUCAUUGCUUAUUAAUUGAUGUUCUUUUCUGCAACAUUAUACAUGUAAUGUGUUGGUUUUUCCUACAUGUCACCAUGAUAUACUUUGCAGAUGUGCAUAACACCUAAUUCUGGUUGUUGUCAUAUGUAAAAGCCAAAGUUGGGAAAGUGACAAUCUCUAACUAUCUAGUAACAGCAAGCUUCUUAAGGGUUCAUUCCCAGGUCAUUAGUGGAAUAAUUUUCCCCUCCACAUCUUCAUCUUCUUGCAUAAAAAGCAUAAAAGCUAAAGAAAUUACUAGACUCCCUCCAGUAAGAGAAAAGAGGGGUGAUAUGAUUUAGACAUGCUCUCCAGACAAAUUAGCCUAUGGAAAAGCAAGAAGAAAGGUGAGAUCAUGCCUAUCUUUAUAGUAGUUAUCUUAGAUUCCAAAUUGACAUUAUGUGGUCUUUUAAUACAAAAAUAGUUUAGAAAGAGCAGUACAGUAGGUCCAAUUAUAUGGUAGUUUCUUCUUCAGAAAUAUUAGUAGUGAAAUAGCUCCUGCAAGUGGUCUGGCAUGAUUUGUACUCAUCUCAUAAAAUCGAUACAACCUACUUUUAGUCAACACUCUUUAAUAGAAAAAAAAAUUGUGUAUGGUCUUGAGGUAACUGAAAUGAAAAAAAAAGCCAAAACUAUAAAUAAUUGGCUAUAGUCAAUGUUGCUAAUUAUUAUGCCCCAUGACUCUUCAGAUAUACCUGCAUUUAUGAGCACAUUUCGACAUCUGUGAAAAACCCUAGUCUUCAUUAAGCCCUUGAUUUGAUCCACCCUAAAUGAUAUGAUUUCCUGAGAAAUGGUGUCCUAAGACCAGAAAGAUGCCUCAACAAAUAAAGCAUGUGUCACAUAAGUAUGAGGACCUGAAUUUGGAUCCCUAGAACCCACACUAAACUGGACACAUAUAGCAAUGUACACAGUAGCACAUAUGUGUAGUCACACAUACUUAAGUCAAGACUGAUGGGGUGACAGGAGAAGCCCCAGAAUCUCUGAGGCCAGUUUGUCUACUUUACCAGUAUUUACUCUUUACUCAUAAUUUUCCAUUGUUAAUAUAGCUCCCCUUUCUAAAGUAUUCCAUCUUAUUCUCUAUAUAAGACAGAUAGAUGAUAGAUAAGGAUUAUGUGUAACAUAAAAAGAUUAUACUGUAACUUACAGGCAAAAACAUCUUUAACCACUAUGCAAUUAUUUGUUGUGUCAUCUAGGAAGUGUCACUCCAUCAAGAAUAAUCUAUUCAUUUUGAGUAACAUGUAUUUUUUCUCUCUUUCUCUCCUGAAUAUGUGAGUUUGUUCAUGUUUUACCUGUGUGCUGGUGAAGAUGCACAUCUGUAUAUACAUGUGAAAGCAAAAGCAUAAGGCUCUAGUUAUCAUGCCAAAGAUGAUGUCCACAUUCUUUGUGGACACAGGGUUUUGCAAUAGGUCUUGAAUUUCAGGGAUUUGCCUAAGCUGGUUUGUCAGUGAAAGCCAGACACCCUCUUGUCUCUAGUGCCUGACAUUAGGGAGAGGAACUUAUAGAGCCCAUCUCCAGCAGGAAACCAUGGCAUCAACUGAGGAAUGGGGUUACUAUCCAAUGGUCACAACUCUGACCCAUAAUUCUUCCUAUAAGAAAGAAUUACAGGAAUGGAAAUGGAGAAGAGCUUAAGGAAAAGAGGGUCUAGAGACAGACUCAAAGUGGGAUCCAGCUCAAGGGGAGGGCUGAAGGCCCAACACUAUUACUGAGGCUAUGGAGAAUUCACAAAAAGGGACCUAGCAUGACUGCCCUCUGAAAGACCCAACAAGCAGCUGAAAGAAUCAGAUGCACAUAUUUGCACCCAACCAUUGGACAGAAGCAGCUGACCUCUGUUGUUGAAUGAGGGAAGGAAGGAUGAAUAAAAAUGCGGAGAUGAGCGAUCCUGUAGGAUGACCAGCAGUCUCAAUUAAUCUGGAUCUCCAAGAUCUCUCAAACUGGACUACCAACCAGGCAGCAUACGCCAGCUGAUAUGUGGCCCCAACACACAUACAGUAGAGGACUGCUGGGUCUGUGCUCAUUCAGAGAUGAUGCACCAACUCUUAAGAUACUGGAGCCCCCAGAGAGUUUAGAGGUCAUGUAGGGUAGGGGUGGGGACAUUCAGCAGGGUGGGAAGGAGGUACAGGAAGGAUGUGGAACAGUCAAAGGGUGAAUGGGGGGAGAUAAAAUAGAAAGUGUAAAAAAUAAAUUAAUUAAAAUAUAAAAAAAUUUAAAAGGAGUUUUGAAUCAAUUUUCAGGAAGAAGUUUAAUAUCUGAGAAAAAUUUCAGGUAUCCAAGCUCAUGUACUGAUCACAUAAAAGACACUGUAGCUUUGGGGCUUUAAUAAUAGAAGAAAAUAUUUGGUUAAAACUACUCUCUAAUUUUAAUGAAUUUAGGUUGUCCUCAUGAUCAGAUGACACACAAAU
RNAcentral lists this long non-coding RNA (2709 nucleotides) under Mus musculus (house mouse). Its description in RNAcentral is "long non-coding RNA chr1:99847983-99850692". The record is from RNAcentral. Lineage: Eukaryota; Metazoa; Chordata; Mammalia; Rodentia; Muridae.